This 254-nucleotide ribosomal RNA is filed under the name uncultured bacterium. Its description in RNAcentral is "partial 16S ribosomal RNA". It matches the Rfam family "Bacterial small subunit ribosomal RNA", at positions 524 to 776 of the family's 1533-position model. The record is from RNAcentral.
UACGAAGGGGGCGAGCGUUGUCCGGAAUUAUUGGGCGUAAAGAGCUCGUAGGCGGUUCGUCGCGUCGGCUGUGAAAACCUGAGGCUCAACCUCAGGCCUGCAGUCGAUACGGGCGGACUUGAGUACUGCAGGGGAGACUGGAAUUCCUGGUGUAGCGGUGAAAUGCGUAGAUAUCAGGAGGAACACCGGUGGCGAAGGCGGCCUGCUGGGCAGUAGCUGACACUGAGGCGCGACAGCGUGGGGGAGCAAACAGG